This 329-nucleotide unclassified non-coding RNA is filed under the name soil metagenome. Its description in RNAcentral is "partial contains 5.8S ribosomal RNA, internal transcribed spacer 2, and large subunit ribosomal RNA". The stretch from base 1 to 120 matches the Rfam family "5.8S ribosomal RNA", at positions 35 to 154 of the family's 154-position model. The record is from RNAcentral.
GAUGAAGAACGUAGCGAAAUGCGAUAAGUAAUGUGAAUUGCAGAAUUCAGUGAAUCAUCGAAUCUUUGAACGCACAUUGCGCCCCUUGGUAUUCCGAGGGGCAUGCCUGUUCGAGCGUCAUUAUAACCCCUCAAGCUCAGCUUGGUGUUGGGGCCUGCUGCACUGGCAGCCCUUAAAAUCAGUGGCGGCGCCAUCUGGCUCUAAGCGUAGUAAUUCUUCUCGCUAUGGAGUCCUGGUGGAUGCUUGCCAUCAACCCCCAAUUUUUCUAUGGUUGACCUCGUAUCAGGUAGGGAUACCCGCUGAACUUAAGCAUAUCAAUAAGCGGAGGA